This 534-nucleotide ribosomal RNA is filed under the name Iconella splendida. Its description in RNAcentral is "eukaryotic LSU rRNA". It matches the Rfam family "Eukaryotic large subunit ribosomal RNA", at positions 32 to 662 of the family's 3401-position model. Lineage: Eukaryota; Bacillariophyta; Bacillariophyceae; Surirellales; Surirellaceae. The record is from RNAcentral.
AUUUAAGCAUAUAACUAAGCGGAGGAAAAGAAACUAACUAGGAUUGGUAUAGUAACGGCGAGUGAAGUACCAAAAGCCCAAUCUGUGAAUCGACACUUGUGUUGAAUUGUGGAAUGAAGAUGAGUCCGUCCUGUUUGUAGACCAAGUCCUCUGGAAUGGGGCAGCAUAGAGGGUGACACUCCCGUAUGUCUUUGAAUAUGAGGACUCUUCAAAGAGUCGAGUUGUUUGGGAUUGCAGCUCUAAGGGGUGGUAAAUUCCACCCAAGGCUAAAUACUGGUGAGAGACCGAUAGUAUACAAGUACCGUGAGGGAAAGAUGCAAAGCCGCGCGAAAGCGCCAUCAAAGAGUACCUGAAAUUGCUGAAAAGGAAGCAAAGGAAACUAGUGUAAGCCAUCCUGCACUUCCCUGACUGCUUGCAGUUGGGGCGCUGCGGCUGGUGUUGUUUAUGGCUUGGUUGGCAGUGUAAACUAAUGAUGCUGCUGGCUGUGCAAGGAGUAGACAAUGAAAUAGUUUUCUUUUUCCCGUCUUGAAACAC